CCUACGGGGGACAGCAGUGAGGAAUAUUGGUCAAUGGGCGCUAGCCUGAACCAGCCAAGUAGCGUGAAGGAUGACUGCUCUAUGGGUCGUAAACUUCUUUUAUAAAGGAAUAAAGUGAGGCACGUGUGCUGUUUUGUAUGUACUUUAUGAAUAAGGAUCGGCUAACUCCGUGCCAGCAGCCGCGGUAAUACGGAGGAUCCGAGCGUUAUCCGGAUUUAUUGGGUUUAAAGGGAGCGUAGAUGGGUUGGUAAGUCAGUUGUGAAAGUUUGCGGCUCAACCGUAAAAUUGCAAUUGAUACUGGCAGUCUUGAGUACAGUAGAGGUAGGCGGAAUUCGUGGUGUAGCGGUGAAAUGCUUAGAUAUCACGAAGAACUCCGAUUGCGAAGGCAGCUUACUGGACUGCAACUGACACUGAUGCUCGAAAGUGUGGGUAUCAAACAGGAUUAGAUACCCGAGUAGUC
RNAcentral lists this ribosomal RNA (460 nucleotides) under uncultured bacterium. RNAcentral describes it as "partial 16S ribosomal RNA". It matches the Rfam family "Bacterial small subunit ribosomal RNA", at positions 338 to 795 of the family's 1533-position model. The record is from RNAcentral.